GGAAGAGAAAUCCAGUUUCACACGGCUGCUACCACCCAACAGCAGCCUCCCAAAGAAAUACUAUUUGGAACUUUCCACCUGGCCUUGAUAUGGGUGGAAAGAAAGCUGGGGGAACACAGAUGAUUGUGUCCCUCCUGGUUGACAAGAGGGUGAAGUGGUUGUCCUCAGCUCACCCUGUUGUGGCUACUGGCUGAAGGCCUCUGGCAGGCUGGCUGGGACUGAGGGGUGAGAAGGGGCACUCGGCCAAGAGAACUCACAGGGACUAGUGUCUCUGCUCAGCGUCUGCUCAGCAGAAGUGCAUCUGGCUGUGAGCUCAGCAGUUCCACCCAAGGCCAAGGGAGGGGUGGGACCCACUGCACUCCACCAGCCCCAUAAGGAGGGGAGAAAGCCAGAAGUCUUCUCCAAACCUGGGCCGAGAGAAGCUCUCUAUUGGGAGAGGAAAGGGCCCAGAUAGUUUAGGGCAGGGACAGGCCAAGGGACAAAGCUCAGGGCUGUCCCUCGAGGAGGAGUCAUCUGGACAGAUCUAGGCCACCUGGGUCAAGGACCAAACAAGAGUUUAGAAGCAAAGGGCUACAAAAGCAGAGAUGUGUGAGUGUCCGGGAUGGGGGCUGGGAUUCGCAGGAGGAGGUGGCACCGCUGCUGGACCUUGGAGGAUGGGGAAUGAAACUGAGAGAUGCCAACACUUGUGAGACACAAGGGGGAAGUGACUACAAAACAGAGAAGUGUAAAACCAAAGAAGGAAACUUCUUAGAGAAUCCAGAGGAAGGGAAUAAAGAAGCAGAGAGCAAAUAGGGUGAAAUGCAGCAGGAAAGUCUACAAAAACAAGGACCAAGAGACAGAUUUGGUGAGUAGUUCAGCAGAUUGACAGGGGCUUGGGUUAGGCAUAGGAGCUACGCCAGGAGGGAGGUACGAAUAACAUUU
RNAcentral lists this long non-coding RNA (921 nucleotides) under Vulpes vulpes (red fox). RNAcentral describes it as "lncRNA (ENSVVUG00000016759.1)". Lineage: Eukaryota; Metazoa; Chordata; Mammalia; Carnivora; Canidae. The record is from RNAcentral.